This is a long non-coding RNA of Felis catus (domestic cat), 1467 nucleotides long. RefSeq lists it as uncharacterized. The transcript has 2 exons. NCBI's taxonomy places the organism in Eukaryota, Metazoa, Chordata, Mammalia, Carnivora, Felidae. The record is from RefSeq and is a predicted model, not a curated record.
GCUCCGCUGCGGGGGGGGGGGACCAGUGCCACGGUGGCGCUUGUCAGAAGAGGGAGGGGUGCGGAAAUCUCGCCCCGUCUAACUCCAAGGUGUCGGGGGAACGUGAGUGAUGACCCCUCCUUGCAUUAUCUGCCCCGGCUAAGAGACCCUGGCCAUUCCAGCCCCAGUGAAGCAGAGGCAAAGAGAACCAAGGACGUCCUGGGGGUUGGAAACCUUGCAAGAGACAACAACUGUUCGCCACGGACGCCGCUCUCACUCUGCCGUGUUGGUGCCCAUGCCACAGUGUGCUCAAAAUUGUGAAAAUACUUUCUCUUCCUUUUAUGAGUGAAAUAAUUCGUGCCAUCGUGUGGUUCUGUCACGGAAAAAAAAAAGAAAAAAGAAAAGGGAACAGAGCACCUCAAGGAAAAUAACGUCUUCUGAAACAGUCAGAUGUGCGAGCCGGCGUUUUAAGUUUUUAUUUUUAUUUUUAAGGUUUAUGUAUUUCUUGGGGGGGGGGAGGGGCAGAGAGAGAGAGGCAGAGAGAGAAUCCCAGUCAGGCUCCCCAUUGUCAGCGCAGAACCCAAUAUGGGGCUCGAUCCCACGGACUGUGAGAUCACGACCUGAGCUGAAAUCAAGGGUCGGACACUUAACCUACUGAGCCCCCCAGGUGCCCCUAAACUGGGGUUCUAAAGCCUGACAGGGGAGGAGCCUCGGCCCCCACCCUGGGCUCUCACAGUGCCCUGGAGCUCUAUUUUGUGACUUGUCGCCUGUGUGUCUGUCUUCCUACCCAACUGGGAGCCUCUGGGGGUGGGAGCUGUGCCCUUUUGUCACCUUACGCCCAGCACAGAGCACUGCAGCACCUGGCCUCACGGGCACACAGGGAGGUCUGUGAGGAUCCUCCGGUGUGGCUUACGCGUGCCUAGUGCCCCCCAACUGCUAUCCUUCAUUCAGCACAGACACCGCCUGGAACCCCAGAGCCGCUCCCCAAAGAGACAUAUUCAGCCUCCCACCUGCUUAGCCAUUCAAAGUCUCCCCGUCAGAAACCGGGAUUUGCUGCCUGCCCCCUCUAGUCAGCAGGCGUCUCCAGGAUCUGCAAGGGUGUCCCUGAGGUAGCCUUAGAUUCCCUCUUCCCCUGAUGGCUUUCAUUUGGUUAAUUGACCUGGCAAAUUAUCGCUUGGGAAGAGCCAUCACUAGCCUCCACCCCAGAGAAAGGAUGAGAAGACCAUCAGACCUCUGUGGGGCCAGCCUACAUUCACUUCCAACAUGAAGUGUUAGAACAUGAGGUAUCUCCACCUGGAGAGCCGGAACCUUCUGGAAGACUCUGGAUCCUUGUACAGGGUGUUGAGCUGCUGGCACCGAACUCAGUAAUAAACGCCCUCGGUUCGUGCAGUCUUCACUGUAAGGGUGCUCAUUAGAAACAGUCUCACUAGGCUUCAAUGAUUUGAAUAGAAAUGGAUAUAUUUAAUAAAAACAAUCUGCUUUGUGAAA